RNAcentral lists this ribosomal RNA (254 nucleotides) under uncultured bacterium. Its description in RNAcentral is "partial 16S ribosomal RNA". It matches the Rfam family "Bacterial small subunit ribosomal RNA", at positions 524 to 776 of the family's 1533-position model. The record is from RNAcentral.
UACGUAGGGCGCAAGCGUUGUCCGGAUUUAUUGGGCGUAAAGAGCGUGUAGGCGGCCAUACAGGUCAGCUGUGAAAUUUCGAGGCUCAACCUCGAGACGCCACCUGAUACUGCUGUGGCUAGAGUCCGGUAGGGGAGCGUGGAAUUCCUGGUGUAGCGGUGAAAUGCGCAGAUAUCAGGAGGAACACCAGCGGCGAAGGCGGCGCUCUGGGCCGGUACUGACACUGAGGAGCGAAAGCGUGGGGAGCAAACAGG